AGAGGGUACACCGAGGAGUUGUGAACUGCUACAGCUAAGACUACUACGACCAAUUUCCACGUUCACCUUUCAGAAGCCUUACAAAGUCUCCAGGAACGUUGUUCUUGGCUAAAGAGUUGCCCAUCGACGCAUGGCGAAGUGAAUCCUGCCUAUGCAACGAGGAGUCCUAACAUUACCACAAAAAGCCAAAAGGGUGUCAGCUCCCUCAGAUGCAAUCAGCCCCUGUCAGUUAGAUGUGAAGGCAGAUUCAAGGCUGAGGCGCACUGCUGUUCCUAUCAAGAAGAGGCUACUGCUCAGCAGAAGUGUUAAGGUUAACGGCGCACUGUAACAAGAAGAGACACCGAAAGAGACUCAAAAGCUGUUGACCGUACUAAAAACAAAAUACACAAAAAGAAAGGCUUAGUUUUAUUUCAAUUUAGAAUACAUUAUACAGGGAUAAAUGGUUCAGUAGCUUUAUUUUUUAACAGGAUUCAUUACAUCUGGUAGUGUUUACAGUAGGGCUGGUAGGUCACAUACCUAUUACUGUAGUGCUUUAAGGCUACGAACUCCCAAACUCAGUCAAUUAACAACAUGUACUUUAAAAAAUAUUUUCAGGCAUAAAACAAACAGAUAAAGGUAAGCAUCUAUAUUUGCACCAUAUAAAAUUGGUUGGCAAUCAUACUUUCAAACUUUUCAUAAUGCAGCCACAAAGGAUGGCUUAGAUCCAGUAUUUGGUAGGUUUUAAUAUUUCAGAUGUCAUUUGUUUAAACUGUGCUAACCGAUAAUAUAUCUGGCCAGUCUGACAGACAUUUCGUGACCUUUAGACAUUAUAUUAUAUAGUGAUUUUAGUGGCCAGGAGGCUAAGCCUCGACGGUGGUGGGGUCAUUAUGAUCAUGGAAAAGAAACAGAAGAGUGAGAAAAAUGUGGCUUAAUUGCAAUCAACAGUAUUGUAAUCUUUUAGGAGACGGGGAGAGGAGGACAUUAAACUUCUGGCCGUAACCCUGCUUUAACAACGCCUUUGUGUGUCUUACAGCGAAGAUCACAGCAUCCAACACAUGUGGAGCCUCUGAUUUCCAUGUCACACGCCUAAACGGCACUCCGUUACUCAUGCUCAAAGUUGGAUUGAAGUGUAAGCAUCAUUUCUUGAAUAGGAAUAAUGUAAUCCAGCUGUGCAGUGUGUCUCUGCAUUAAAGCUACAAUUUUAAGCUCACCAUCAAAACGCUCCUUUAGAGCUGGAGAGUUAUAUUUAGAGUUUAUACAGCAGUUAGGGCCAACCCCGCAACCACAAAAGAGGAGAAGCAGAUCCUUUCUGCUCUGGCUACCACAAAGUCUAACAUAAAAUCCGUUCAGAGUCUUAGCUCAAGCCCAAAAAAGUAGCUAGUCAGAUUUUUAAACUAAAACAUUAGUUCUUAACACGUAAUAAGUUGAAUGAAUGCAAACAUGUUAAAUUAAGGGCAAAGUCUAAUUAAAACAACAUGAAGGCAAAAUACAUUUCCAUCCCCUUAUAAGGGAACACUGUGUCCCAAACAAACAGUGCAGCACUGCCAAAAGGGGCACAGAGCAGGAUGGGAGGAAAAGUUGGGCAAGCUUGACCGACUGGCUGUUUUUUGGCUGCAUUCAUUUCAGUCCAAUUUGUCUUUACCUGCACCUCCAAACAAACCUGCAAGCAGCAAAAGUUUAUCAGUCCUCUCUGGUCAGAAACAGGAGGCUGGCUGAGUGCCACUGCUGUCCCCGUGCUCGCAACUCCACCCUCUCUUUCCUCCUCCCACAGCACAAGAUACCUCAUGUGUCUGACUACAGCAGAAUCUCUGCUACAGCAGCACUGUCCUUAAAUG
Long non-coding RNA from Girardinichthys multiradiatus, 1814 nucleotides. RefSeq lists it as uncharacterized. The record is from RefSeq and is a predicted model, not a curated record. Lineage: Eukaryota; Metazoa; Chordata; Actinopteri; Cyprinodontiformes; Goodeidae. The transcript has 3 exons.